GUGAGGAAUAUUGGUCAAUGGACGAGAGUCUGAACCAGCCAAGUCGCGUGAAGGAAGACGGAUCUAUGAAUUGUAAACUUCUUUUGUGCAGGAAUAAAGUGGGUUACGUGUAACCUUUUGUAUGUACUGUACGAAUAAGGAUCGGCUAACUCCGUGCCAGCAGCCGCGGUAAUACGGAGGAUCCGAGCGUUAUCCGGAUUUAUUGGGCGUAAAGGGCGCGUAGGCGGGAAGGUGUGUUGACGUGUAAAUCUAUCGUGUCAAGCGGUAGGCUUGGGUUGAAACUGACUUUCUAGAUGAUUUCAGGGGAGGUUGGAAUUUACGGUGUAGCAGUGAAAUGCGUGGAUAUCGUAAGGAAGGCUUGUGGCGAAGGCGAAACUCUGGAGAAUACCUGACGCUGAGGCGCGAAGGCUAGGUUAGCAAACGGGAUUAGAUACCCCUGUAGUCC
Molecule: ribosomal RNA, 445 nt
Filed under: uncultured bacterium
Lineage: Bacteria
Description: partial 16S ribosomal RNA
Rfam family: Bacterial small subunit ribosomal RNA
Source: RNAcentral